UACGGAGGGUGCGAGCGUUAAUCGGAAUCACUGGGCGUAAAGCGCGCGUAGGCGGCUUUUCAAGUCAGGGGUGAAAUCCCGCGGCUCAACCGCGGAACUGCAUUUGAAACUGUGCUUCUUGAGUGCUGGAGAGGCAGACGGAAUUCCUAGUGUAGCGGUGAAAUGCGUAGAUAUUAGGAGGAACACCAGUGGCGAAGGCGGUCUGCUGGACAGUAACUGACGGUGAGGCGCGAAAGCGUGGGGAGCAAACAGG
This 253-nucleotide ribosomal RNA is filed under the name uncultured Oscillospiraceae bacterium. RNAcentral's name for it is "partial 16S ribosomal RNA". It matches the Rfam family "Bacterial small subunit ribosomal RNA", at positions 524 to 776 of the family's 1533-position model. The record is from RNAcentral. Lineage: Bacteria; Bacillati; Bacillota; Clostridia; Eubacteriales; Oscillospiraceae.